Molecule: unclassified non-coding RNA, 596 nt
Filed under: Aspergillus chinensis
Lineage: Eukaryota; Fungi; Ascomycota; Eurotiomycetes; Eurotiales; Aspergillaceae
Description: partial contains ITS1, 5.8S rRNA and ITS2
Rfam family: 5.8S ribosomal RNA (bases 211-364)
Source: RNAcentral
UGGAAGUAAAAAGUCGUAACAAGGUUUCCGUAGGUGAACCUGCGGAAGGAUCAUUACCGAGUGAGGGCUGCCUCCGGGCGCCCAACCUCCCACCCGUGAAUACCUAACACUGUUGCUUCGGCGGGGAGCCCUCUCGGGGGCGAGCCGCCGGAGACCACUGAACUUCAUGCCUGUAGUGAUGAGUCUGAGCCUAAAUGAAAAUUUAGUCAAAACUUUCAACAAUGGAUCUCUUGGUUCCGGCAUCGAUGAAGAACGCAGCGAACUGCGAUAAGUAAUGUGAAUUGCAGAAUUCAGUGAAUCAUCGAGUCUUUGAACGCACAUUGCGCCCCCUGGCAUUCCGGGGGGCAUGCCUGUCCGAGCGUCAUUGCUGCCCUUCAAGCCCGGCUUGUGUGUUGGGUCGUCGUCCCCCCCGGGGGACGGGCCCGAAAGGCAGCGGCGGCACCGUGUCCGGUCCUCGAGCGUAUGGGGCUUUGUCACCCGCUCGAUUAGGGCCGGCCGGGCGCCAGCCGGCGUCUCCAACCUUUAUUUUUCUCAGGUUGACCUCGGAUCAGGUAGGGAUACCCGCUGAACUUAAGCAUAUCAAUAAGCGGGAGGAA